Molecule: ribosomal RNA, 253 nt
Filed under: uncultured bacterium
Lineage: Bacteria
Description: partial 16S ribosomal RNA
Rfam family: Bacterial small subunit ribosomal RNA
Source: RNAcentral
UACGGGGGGGGCAAGCGUUGUUCGGAAUCAUUGGGCGUAAAGGGCGUGUAGGCGGUUUGUUAAGUCGAACGUGAAAUCCCCGGGCUCAACCCGGGAACUGCGUCCGAGACUGGCAGGCUCGAAUCCGGGAGAGGGAUGUGGAAUUCCAGGUGUAGCGGUGAAAUGCGUAGAUAUCUGGAGGAACACCGGUGGCGAAGGCGGCAUCCUGGACCGGUAUUGACGCUGAGGCGCGAAAGCCAGGGGAGCAAACGGG